UAUUAGGCAUGCAAGUCGCCUAUAGGUUCGGGUCCGUGGCGGACGGGUGAGUAACCGAUGGGUAACCUGCCUCGGAGUGGGGAAUAACUCUCCGAAAGGAGAGCUAACAGACGCACAGACACUCUCGGUGAGUUCAAAGAGUAGUAAAAGCCGUAAUGUGCUCUGAGAGGGGCCCGCGGCCGAUUAGCUAGUUGGUGGGGUAAUGGCCUACCAAGGCGACGAUCGGUAGCUGGUCUGAGAGGAUGGUCCGCCACCGAGGGACUGAGAAGCGGCCCAAUCUCCUACGGGAGGCCGCCGCUAAGAAUCUUGCGCAAUGGGCGAUUCAAAUGACGCCGCAACGCCGCGUGAAGGACGAAGGCCUUCGGGUUGUAAACUUCUUUUGCGAGGGAAGAAGAUCUGACGGUACCUCGCGAAUUUCAAAACGGCUAACUACGUGCCCGCCGCCGCGGUAAUACGUAGGUGGCGAGCGUUGUCCGGAUUUACUGGGCGUAAAGAGCCCGCCGGCGGUCCGUUAAGUUUCCGGUGAAAUCUCCCGGCUCAACCGGGAGGAUGCCUGGAAAACUGGCGGACUUGAGGCCGGGAGAGGGAUGUGGAAUUCCCGGUGUAGUAGUGAAAUGCGUAGAAGUCGGGAGGAACACCCGUGGCGAAGGCGGCAUCCUGGCCCUGUCCUGACGCUCCGGGGCGAAAGCGUGGGGAGCAAACCGGAUUAGAA
This 712-nucleotide ribosomal RNA is filed under the name uncultured bacterium. Its description in RNAcentral is "bacterial SSU rRNA". It matches the Rfam family "Bacterial small subunit ribosomal RNA", at positions 47 to 783 of the family's 1533-position model. The record is from RNAcentral.